RNA transcript from Papaver somniferum (opium poppy), 3075 nucleotides. RefSeq lists it as uncharacterized. The record is from RefSeq and is a predicted model, not a curated record. The transcript is spliced from 8 exons. NCBI's taxonomy places the organism in Eukaryota, Viridiplantae, Streptophyta, Magnoliopsida, Ranunculales, Papaveraceae.
AUUAAGGGUCAUUUCUGUCAAAGUGUUUCGAAAUUUCGAAAAUAGUAAUAAUAAUAAUAAUAAUUAAGAAAGUGGAGUAAAAUUAAAUGAACAGAGAUCCGGUUCCAACUUCCAAUCUCUCCUUCCCUCUUUCAUCUUGUCCGGACCACAUAUCAAAUCACCGUCUCUCUGUUUCCGCCGCUCAUCAUCAUCACCAUCAUCAAAAGUUCCUCAGUACAGAACCAGAAAACAUUUUCAGGACUAUAAGCUUUUGGAAUGGAUAAUCUAGGGAUUUCCUCAUGCCGCCCCAAAGAGAAGAAGCAAAAGAAGGAUUCUCAACCACUUCACACCCGAAAACUCCGUAGUUAUACCCAAAUUUCAAAUCAAUUAGGUGUCGACGAAAAUGUGGUGAUGAGAGAUAGUACUGAAGUUACUGGAGAAAGCUCUGGGUGCUCAAAUCAUGAAGCGCGCCAGACUGGAUGUAAUGAGUUGCCUCCUGCUUUAUUGAUGUUCCAUGUUUGGUCGAAAGACGGGAUCGACCUCGUUGUUGAUUUGAACUCCAACUCUAGAGAAAGGGAGGAACAAGUGAAAGCUUCAUUUCUUGGGAGUGUGCCAGUAAAAGUGGAAACGGCAGGUGAUGCCAAGGUUAUUGAAUCUUCCGCAAGUUCAACUGUGAGGGAUAUCCCAGAGGAAAGUGGAAGAUCUUCUGUGAUAAUACCAGAGAACCCUGCAGAGUCAAGCCUUGUUAGGGAGAGUGAUCUGAAGGUUUCAUUUCUAUGCGAUAACUAUUCUCAGAAUUCUGUAGAUUUGAGUGGUGAUUCUCAUCUCCAGUGUGGUGAUAUAACUUUUGUUUCACCUGGCUCAAGAUUAUCUGAUAUGUCAGAAAAUGGAUCAAAGAGUGAUAGCAAAUGUACAGCAAGUGAUGAAACAGUCCCCGUGCCGGCUUCGGUUUCUUGUAAACCAGAUCUUCCAAUAGUCAUCAAAUUCUGUGAGGAUCAAGUCAUGCUAAUUACUUCUGCGAUUGAGAACCCUGGUGGUGUAAUUCCACGUCCCUCAGAGCCUCCAUGUACUAAACCCUUAGUUGAGGACCAGGUUGAGCUGGUAAAUGAUGCAGCUUCAGGUUCAGCUUCACAGCUUGACAUGCAGCUAGACAAUGGCAUCCAGGCUGACCCUCCAGAUCCUGAACCCCCAAUUGAGGACCAGGUUGAGCUAGUAAAUGACGCAGCUUCAGGUUCAGCUUCACAGCCUGACAUACAGCUAGACAAUGGCAUCCAGGCUGAGCCUCCAGAUCCUGAACCCCCAGUUGAGAACCAGGCUGAGCUAGUAAAUAACUCAGAUUUAAUGUUAGCUUCAGAGCCUGAUAUACAGCUAGAUAACCACAUUCUGUCUGAGCCUCCGUGUCCUGAACCCUUAGUUGAGAACCAGGUUGAUCUAGUAAACAACUCAGCUUCAGGGUCUGCUUCGCAGCCUAAUAUACAGCUAGACAAUGGCAUUCAGUCUGAGCCACCAUGUCCUGAACCCUUAGUCGAGGACCAGGUUGAAGUAGUAAAUAAUUCAGCUUCAGGGUCAGGUUCGCAGCCGGAUAUACAGCUAGACAAUGGCAUCCAGUAUGGGCAUAUUACUUCCCAACAAGCUGAAGAUCCAACACAUCAACCAACAACCGAAGAGGGUGUUGUUGCGCCACUAAGACCGAUGCUUCAGCAACCUAUAUCGAUUGGCAGAUCUCUAGGCGGAAGUGGUGCAUGCGUAUCAGAUUCCAGAAGCAUUGGAGGUGUUCCAGAUUCCAUUAAUCAUCUUCGCCAAAGUGCUCCAAUGACUUCUUCUGGAACUUCUCAGUCUCUGCUCCAUCAUGACCCUUUUUUAGAUGAAUCAGUGAGAAUCGGUCGAGGGCAGGACCAAGUUGGGUUAGUUAUUAACUCAACCCCACAGCCUAAUAUACAGUUAGACAAUGGCAUCCAGUUGGGACAUAACACUUCCCAACAGGCUGAAUUUCCAACACAGCCAGCAACAACUGUACAGCAUUCUAGGUCACCUUCUUAUAAUGAUGCUUUGCAAGGUACAAUGCUUCAGCGGCCCAUGUUUAUAGACAGAUGUGUAGGUGGAAGUGUUACACGUGUAUCAGAUGCCAGAGACUUGGGAGUUGUUCCAAACUGCAUUAGUAAUCCUUUACAAAUUGCUCCGUCGACUUCUUCUCAGGCUCUGCACCGAGAUGAUCCUCUUUCAAAUGAAUUGGCAAGAGUUCGCCAAGAGUGGGAUCAAGCAGUGAAAUUGCACAAAGAAUUGAAAAUGCGGAUCAGAUUCGAUUUAUCCAAGGAGUUGCAAGAGGUCAAGAAAAAAUAUUGCAAGCUUCAUCACGAUAAUGAAAGUGCAUUAGCUCGUACAAAGAAAUCAAUUGACACAAACUAUAACAAAGUCUUCAUGAAUGGGUUGCUAGCGAAGCAUUUUAGGGACAAAUUAUUGUGAGGCUACCAGGACUGCUGGAUGACAUCAAGUAAGGUGGUUAACGACUAUGUUACGAGAAUAGGUUUUUAUUUGCUUGGAAAAGGAUUAUAUCUCAUUUUCUGCCCACAAGCAAUGAUUGGUAUAAGAGACGUGGCGUUUGUGAGCUGCUCUCCCAAAUUUCAUAAGUCUGUCAAUCAGGUAUCAACGAGAGAGAUUCCUACUUAAGUUACUGGAGAAAGCUCUGGGUGCUCAAAUCACGAAGCCCGUCAGACUGGAUAAAUGAAGCUAUUUAUGUUCUAGUUUGCUCAAGAGGUGAAGGUGGUUUACUUAAAGAGCGGAUGGAAUUAGCUGCUGAGCCACGGCAGGAGAAUAUCAAGGUGGCCUUGGUAGACAACCCAUUAAUCAAAUUCUAAACAUGUACAAAAACAGACGAGGGAAGAAAUUUUUCCAACAUUAGUUCUGCAUAAUGUUAGGAAUUUUACAUUUUUUUUGUGUGAAUCAUGAAUAUACAUUCUUCCUUCAUUCAACCAAUAUAAUCCUGGCUUGAUCGGGGUAUACCCAAAUUAAUUGGGGUAUACCUAAUGAGACAAAAGUCAGGUCAUUUUGAAGUAAAACAGGCUACCCCUUAACCUUUUAUUUUCUAAAUGGCUAAUA